Drosophila ananassae is the source of this 74-nucleotide non-coding RNA. Lineage: Eukaryota; Metazoa; Arthropoda; Insecta; Diptera; Drosophilidae. The record is from Rfam.
GCCUCCGUGGCGCAAUCGGUUAGCGCGUUCGGUUGUUAACCGAAAGGUUGGUGGUAGGAGUCCACCCGGGGGCG